UACGUAGGGGGCAAGCGUUGUCCGGAUUUACUGGGCGUAAAGCGCGCGUAGGCGGAACGUUAAGUCCGGUCUGAAAGCCCCCGGCUCAACCGGGGAGGGUGGCUGGAAACUGGCGUUCUUGAGGGCGAGAGAGGAGGGUGGAAUUCCUGGUGUAGCGGUGGAAUGCGCAGAUAUCAGGAGGAACACCAAUAGCGAAGGCAGCUCGCUGGGACGUAACUGACACUGAGGCGCGAAAGCGUGGGGAGCGAACAGG
RNAcentral lists this ribosomal RNA (253 nucleotides) under uncultured bacterium. RNAcentral's name for it is "partial 16S ribosomal RNA". It matches the Rfam family "Bacterial small subunit ribosomal RNA", at positions 524 to 776 of the family's 1533-position model. The record is from RNAcentral.